UGAAAAUAUGCCAGCUCUGCUGCUUCGUUAUUAUCAUGUCUGACAUUUAUGAUGGUGAUGCGAAUCGUGCAUCCGUAAUCAGAUGCAGAUGAUUGACCAAACAAGAGUGACUGCCUCAAAGUUGUCUGCCCAUUUCCUACAACUGCAGUUGUCAUGACAACCCAUGAAGGAUAUGUGGAAGUGAAAGACAUCAUACACUGCGAUAUGGAUGGAGGUGACUCUGUAGACGGUGCCCGAGGUGGUGGGUCCCCCAAACAUCAACUCAUGGUCAGUCUUUCCGAAUUCUCCGAGUCAAUGAUCGAUGAUGGAGCUGAUAACAUCAGUAUGGAGGUACAGAUGGGAGAAGAGGGUUCCCGACAUCCCAGUGAGAUCAGUUCCAUAUCAUACCAGAAUCUCCUUGAGGAUGGCGAAGCAGCAAGCACGUCCUUAUCCCGCCGGGAUAGUGAGGACAGCAAUGACUCCUAUCAGCCGGACGACCCUGAAGGCAUUGCUGACUUUCCUCCUGAAGACAUAGAACGGUUUGAGUCUUCUGAUCUUCCUCUCUCAGAGCAUUAUGCUGUUGCCAGGAAGUCGGAAUCAACGAACCAGAGUUCUAAUAAGGCUGCCAAACAGUCUGAUUUCCAACCCGAGGAGAAUGGAGAAGAGAAUUUGAGCGUGUCUUCAGACAAACAUUAUGACAAUGUUCCCAUUAUGAUCACUGGUGAAGAAAAUGAUGCGGAUGUGUCUGAAAAUGGAUCCUAUGAUAGCAAGACUAAUGUGAUACUUCGAAGGAAGGCUUCAUCGUCUGAAAAUGUUAGAGAGAUCAAUGAUGUAAUGGAUGCAGUGAAAAAGAGAAACAGUCUUGAAAUCCGGAAUAAUAUUCCCACAAUUGGGCAGAUAAAGACUUAUGAUAAGGAUAUUGACGACAUAACAUAUAACGCUCAGGGGGCCAAGCCAAAAAUCCGAAAACAGUCCCCUGGCCUUGCUCGAAGAGUUUGUGAUCAUCCCAUGGGUUCUGGGAGUGAUAGAGAAGGUUCAAGCUCAGAGCGGGAGAUGGAGAGGAUAGAAAAUCAUUUAGAGCCAAAUUUACCUCGUGCAUUAGGAUUGGAACUGUCAGGGGAGCCAACAGUUGGGGUUAUAGAAAAUGGCAAGGAUGGCAUUCAAAUUAUAGCGCCUAGGAAAAAUCUGAACAUUGAGAAUGAGUAUGACUAUGUUAAGUAUGCUCGUGUACAGAAGGGUAAUUCAUAUGUAGGCAUGAGGCUAGCAUAUUCAAGUUCCAAUGAUUCUUUGAAUUUGAAACGAAACAGUAUGAACAGUCAGGACAGUGGGUCCUUGGACAGUUCCAGAGAAACCUCACCAGAGAAGAUUCUUCAACAAAAGAUCUUGCAGGAUUUAGGAGUACCUGCACCAACUGAGCGAGUGAAUGAGGACUCUCUCACUGAGAUUCCACUGAAUGGGACUGAUGGUAAUAUGGUUGAUGACCGCAAGAGCUUUACAUUGUCGCCUGAGAACACAGAGUGUGAUAGUGUGGAGGUAGAAAGUGUGAUGUCGGAUGGUGACCGGUCAACGCUAGGCAUGCCCAUGGUGGAUGAUGGCCUAUCCAGUAGCCAGGCCAGUGAUGUGGAGGACAUGUGCAACCAUGACCCCUCCAUCCCCUCCGAGAUACUCAAACAGAGGCAAAAGCAGGACAUUGAGCAGGAGCUCAAGAACAGUGACGACAAGGAACAUUCUGAGAGUCGAAAUAAGGAGAUGGAUGCUCAGGCUAUUAUGAAUGACCUGAAGGCCAAGCGCGAGGCCCUGGACAUGGCUAUUGCAGAUAUCAAGUCGGCCAUCCAGCGCAGCAAGGGUGUGGCUCUACAGUCGUCAUAUCAACAGGAGGACAGCACCAACGAACCAGUCUGGGUGAAAAGAGACCCAAACAUACAGAAAAUGCAACAGAGACAGGAAGAGAUGCGCAGAGUACGAGAAGAGAUUGAACGUCAACAAGAGGAAGAGUAUGCCAAACAGGAACAGGAAAAAGUAGAUGGUGCUGAGUGCAGUGGGUCAGAGGACACAGGUAAUGCCAGUAAUGGUGCAGAGGCCGAGGGUGAAGGUCAGGGGUCCCCUGAUGAGGAAAAACCGCGACCUGCAAUUCCAACUUUUGCUGAUGUGCGAGCUUUCUUUACUGUUUAUGAAAUGGACGAUGAGAAAGAUGGAUUACUUGACAACCAGUAUACAAACAACAAUGGGAAGGCCUAUCAGGCACCCAAAGGUUAUGAGUCUGAUGAUGAAUAUGAAGAAAUAGAGGGCAUUCGCUACACUCGCCGAAACAAAGGCAAAAAAUAUGCUCUGCUCCAAAAAGACGAUUCUUUAGAGCAUGGCAGCCCCAUGACCCUCAACAUUCGGACCAAUGGCGGGCACCAUACUAAUCAUGGCUCAGAUAUGAGCUGCAACUCCAGUUCUUUCCACCAAUCUGAAAAAAGGCAUAAUUCGGAAACUCAGUAUUCAUCUCCGGACGAGGUGGGGAGUGAUACCGAGCCCGCAUCCAAAAACGCCUACGUGAGAGAUCCCCAUGGAGACUCGGACACUGAUGAGGAGACGGACCGCUUGCUGCAGAAGCAGUAUCAGAGACGGGACCAGUAUGUGGAGAUUCCAGAACUCAGUGAACCACCUGUUAAUAGAAGUGCUCAGGCUGAGAAGCGCCGUUCGCGCGCCAAAGAAGGUGAGCAGGAGUCAUUACAUGUUCGUGAUCCGGAUAAUCCUGAAGUCUUAAUCGAGGGAGUUUUGUUCCGAGCUCGAUACCUGGGCUCCACGCAGCUCGUUUCAGAAGGCCAGCCAUCAAAAGCCAUGAGGAUGAUGCAGGCCCAGGAGGCUGUAGGGAGAAUCAAGGCCUCGACCUUGGGCAGUUUGCAUUUUGGUGAAAAAUAUCAGGCCCCUGAAGGGGAAAACCAGCCCAGCACCGACGUGGAUCUGUUUGUGUCUACUGAGAAGAUCAUGGUACUGAACACCGAUCUGCAGGAAAUUAUGAUGGACCACUCGUUAAGAACAAUAUCCUAUAUUGCGGAUAUCGGUGAUAUUCUGGUGAUAAUGGCACGACGUCGCCUCAUCACAAGCCCUGAUUCCGAAUCUCUACGUAGAAGACGACAGGCAAAGAUUCUGUGUCAUGUCUUCGAGUCGGACGAGGCCCAGCUGAUAGCCCAGUCCAUCGGGCAGGCCUUCCAGGUGGCCUACAUGGAGUUCCUGAAGGCCAAUGGCAUCGAGGACCCGGGCAUCCUGAAGGAGAUGGACUACCAGGAUGUCCUCAACCAACAGGAGAUCUAUGGGGAGGAACUCAACCUGUUCGCCAACAAGGAUUAUCACAAAGAGGUGAUAGUACCAAAGACAAAAGGUGAACCCCUGGGUGUUGUCAUCGUGGAGUCUGGUUGGGGAUCCAUGGUGCCGACAGUGGUCCUGGCCAACAUGAUGCCUACUGGUCCAGCAGCACGCUGUGGUCAGCUCAACAUUGGUGACCAGAUCAUCUCCAUCAAUGGCAUCAGUCUGGUCGGCCUGCCCCUGUCAGCAUGUCAAAAUCAGAUCAAGACGUCCAAGCCCCAGACAGUGGUCAAGCUGACCGUAGUGCCAUGUCCUCCAGUAGUGGAGGUCCUCAUCAAGCGGCCAGACGUCAAGUACCAGCUUGGCUUCAGUGUACAGAACGGAGUGAUCUGCAGUUUAUUACGUGGAGGUAUAGCUGAGAGGGGUGGUGUGAGGGUCGGACAUCGAAUCAUCGAGAUCAACAAUCAGAGUGUGGUAGCAGUACCCCAUGAGAAGAUAGUAGCACUACUAGCCAACUCUGUAGGAGAGAUCCACAUGAAGACCAUGCCUACGUCCAUCUAUCGUCUGCUGACUGGUCAAGACACGCCUCACUACUUAUAGACACAACAGUAUUGUAUGCCAAGACUUGCUUCACACGACUGUAGCCUUGUUGAAUGGAGGAGGCAACACCAUUCUAGUCAGUGUGGUCAACAGUGGUCAUUCUCCCACCAAGAACAUAGACAGCCUGAAGGUGCUGACCGCUGCUGACCAUUGUCAUUUGACUGUGAGUGGCCCACUGAUGCGUACCAUCUGGGCCAACAUACCUACAUCAAGCUCUGCUUUGAAUAAUUUGUGAAAUUGGAGAUGGGCAUCUUGUAUGAUGAGGUUCUGUGAACUUCAUCGGGCAGCAUCAGUUCCAUCUUCCCCUAUACAUCAUCUGCAGUGUGGAGAGGACUGUUAAGCAUGAUUGCCUGGUGGGUCUUCACAAUAUGCAACUGUAUAGUGUCAUGGGAAUAGCGCUGUGCUGGAAGAUACUUGGAAGGAUCUUUGAGGGUAAACAGGUUCUGUGCAUGUUCAUGAAUUUGUGACUUAUGGUGCUUUGAUUAGUAAAGGCCAAGGGAACACUACAACUAGAUCUGUGAGAAGUGAUUUGUAUGGUAGUCUGAGCAGACUGAGGUCUAACCUUGAGAGAUGGUGAGGAAGGCCAACAUUGAUGCUUUGUACUUGAGAAUAUUGCAGGGCACAGCUGUACAAUAUGGACUGUCAAGCUAUUAAGGGCAUCAUUUUCCUACUUGUUCAUUUAUACAAACCUACAACAUAUAUCCGAAAAUGUUGAAAAGUGUCAUGUUGGACAGUGUACCUCCAUGUUUGUGUUCAGUGUCAAGAAGCAGCCUGUUGGAGGCUGCAGAACAUUCCACGUGACAUUGCUGCAAGUUCUUCUUCUGCCAGUGAUAAAGGACGUGAUGAACAGUGUGUCCGUCUCCAUGGAUGUCACACAGGAGUGAUCAUCACACCAAACAUCACCCCUCAGUGUUGAAAAUAUAGCAUUUGUCAGGAGCAUAUAUAGAAUUAUUGAACUUGUGUUCAUAGAAUCUUCCCAUCUGCAGAUGCAGAUACUGUAGACUAAAUCUUGUUUGUGGAGUAUCCACUGGUCAGCAGAAACUGGCCAUCUGAUUAUGCAACUGCACACUGCGAAGAAGACUACUGGAGUCUUUCUAAGGUUGUUGAUUCUGCCCUGUAUGGUCAGUGAAGAACUCCACUGAUUGUUCUGUUGGAGUUGGUACCCAAACCUCUUGUGACUUCCCCAUCCAGGAAAACACUGUUGCUCCUCACAUUUCUGGUCAUAACCUACCUUUCACUGGUAACUGUUACAUGUGAUAUUGUUCAGUAUUCUGUGCUAGUGCUUUGUAGAAAGCUGUUGCUUUAAGGUAAGAAGUUAAUUGUGAAGUGUCAAGAAAUAUCUAAAUAGGAAAACAGGUACCCAAGAAACAUAUCGUAACUCAGUUCUCGGUCAAAUGGUAGGUACUUAUAGGUAAGGUAAUUAGAAGUGUUGAAUUUGAGCAUAUGUAACUUUCUGUUAGACGGAUUAAAGCAGACAAUUGUCUCCUACCUUGAUGCUAGAGUUACCUUCCCUGUGAAGGUUACAAAAUGUCCUGGAGGUCAUACUGUAAGAAGCAGAUUGUUGGCACCUAAUGCUGGAGUUACCUUGCCUGGUAAGAGAACACCUAGAUCUUCCACAGUUAUGUCACAUGCUAAAACUCCAGGUGUACUGUCUACUGUAGUUCUUCAUCCUGUUUAUAAGCAGCUCUUCAGCUGUGGAACAAUUUUGUACCAGUGUGUAGUGUAGUCUUGGGAGAAUCAUUUCAGUUUAGAGAGAUUGUCAAAUAUCAUUCUGUCAUGAGUAACCUCAAGGUAUCUUUGUGAAGCUUUUAUCAGAAUACUUAAACAUUAUACCUAAUUCCAAAUUUGGUUAGUUUCUAAGUAAAAACAUGUUCUCCGUAUAACGUUCUUCAUAGAUAGUGGCAUAUUGUUUCAGUUCAAGUGACGAUUGACAUAAUUAAGUUUAAUAUUUUUUUCAUUUAAGGGGAAGUGUUUAUGGUUUUCUCUUUUAAGAAGUGUUGGAAGUGGGGUUUAUGUUUCAAAACUAAAGGUUAUGGGUUUCAUUGAUCAUUUCAUUGAAUCAAAUUUUAUAAAUUUAAUGUCUUAAAAACUCAAUUUUUGUUUAUUGUGGUGUAUUUAUUCUCUGUCAAUCAAACAUUCCAAAAACUCAAAUGCCCCACCCACUUUCAUCACUUGACCAUGUUGCUCCAAUUGUCUGGAUAAACUGAGCUUUAUGUUAAUAUUGACCUCUCACCCUGUGCUCUGUCUGCAUCAGAUGCUUCUUGAUGUUUUCCUAUGAACAUCCAGAUUUAUAAGGUUUUUGAUUGGUGAGAAUGUUGCUCUUUCACCAUUGUAGUUAUAAUAUGUGUUGUUCAUGAAUUGUGAAGAGUUCAAUUGUGUACCCGGUAGUACUCACUUAAAGAUUGAACAUCUGAAUGAUAGUAUGCUCUGAUUUGAUAUUGCAUUGUAUCAGGCAGUUUACACUGUAUAUUAACCACAUUUAAUUAUGUACAGUGGGCUCUGUGUGCAGUUUGCAGUUUUUGACAAUGUUGAGUUUGAUAGCUAGCUACUGUAAAUAAUUUGUGUUGCUAGUACCUGAAGACAAGACCCAACUUAGGACUGAACCCAGAUGUGAACCUAGACCUGAACAAGGACUGAACCUUGGCUUCAGUUUUGUUAUAAAACAUGUAUGGAUUAUGAUAUAUGUGCAAUAAUAUUGUGUUGAUGUGCUUUCAUUCUCACCUCCUGACCCUGGCUCAUGUGAUCUUACUGUACAAUAUUGCCAGCACUGAACCAGUAGAUACUUAAACCCUGUCAAAAUAGACCUGGUAAACUUACAGUUCCUCCAAAUGGUUGCACACAAGCAUCUUCAUACAGACACAGUGGCAAUGAAAGACAGGAGAACCUCCUCACUUGAAAGUUGUCCUAUUUUCAACUAGGGAAAUCUAGUAUAGGAAUCCUUAUAGGAAUAAGGGUCAUCCUUUUUGAAAAAUGAGUUAGAAAGAUGGGACAGUGGUGUAAAUUAGGCAAACACUUGCCACAAGAUUUCCUUGUAGUUCAUCUCAGAAUAUUGAUAAUAUGUCUGCAUGUUGAUCUAAAAAGGUUAAGUUGACAAGUCACGUUUGAUUUAUUGAACAGUGAAGGUUCUUGAAGAUUUUUUGGCUCACAAGUUGAUUGGUGUUUCCCAAAUCUUCACCAUCUUCCAAAGGUUUAAAGAUAUUCUAGCCUGGUUCAUUUCUUUCAGAUUUUAAAGACCCAUAUAUUCCUUGUGUACCAUAUAUCAAAGAUUAAACUUUCUAUGAGAUGGAAACAUAUUUUUGUCCACAGACAGAUGGGCUUUCCUCAACAAUCCUUACUUUAGUUGCCACUGUGUAGAAGAGACAUAAUAUUCUGUGAAUCAUGAAUAAUAGUUGUAUUGUCUGUAAUAAUACAGUAUCGGAGCAAUGUAUGAUAUGUCAUUGGGUGUAACUUAAUUUGAUCCGUGUUAUAACAUGUGUAUUUACAAUCUGUAUCUUCACUAGUAUAUAAACAUAUUGAAUCAUUUGAACUCUUGAUCAAGCUUUUCACAGCUUGCCUCCAUGUGUACAAACAGAUUAGUGGAUCAGCUGGGUAUAUUACCCUUGUUUUGAAUACAUUAUCAGAGGAAUAAAUAUCCAUUUUAUUCAGAUGGAUAAUUACAUGAUAUGAUAAUGAGGACAUAUUGAAAUUGGAAUUUAAGAUAAAAAAUAGAGUAUUUGCAAUGAAGGUUUGAAGCAGUCGAGUUGGCAAAAUGAAAUCUGUAAAGGGAUUGUAUUUCCACCCAUUGUGAUAAUGUUCUGUGUGUGCGUGCAUAAUAUUGUCAUGAAGUCAGACCACAGCUUGUUGCUUACAUGACUAGAAGAAUGCAUUUGUCCUUGAAACUGUAAGUAUAUCUUCAAGGUAUAUUCCUCUUUUACUGAUGCAAAUGUAUAGCAAGCAUUGUUUGAGGAUAUUUAAUUCACUGGAACAAUUUCAAUUGUCCCUUCUUCUUGGCUAUUGAAACAACACAAAAAACACUAUGUUAUCUCAGUGCGUUCUGUUGACUAACACUUUUUUAAGUGCAUUUCAUUUCUGUGUGCAAUUGAUACAGCAAAUUAUAACAUAUUAUUUAUUAGAAAGUGAUAAAUGUUGAAAGAAUUGUACUGAUAUUGGAAUAUGCUGUUGAAAAUGAUAUUCAUGUUGUGUCUAUGUUGUGGUCCAAGGGAGAUAACUCCCAACCUCAAUGUUCUAUAGAUGUUGAAGUCUUCAUGUCCGAAAUAAUGUGCUGCUUUCAUGGAAGCAGGCAUAAAAGACUACACAAAUUGUUGAUAGUUUUCAAGUUGAAUUUGGUUAUUUAUUCUUGUGUCUUAAGAUAUAUGGGAGUGUCUGAAGACUGAGUUAUUGAAAACAUCUCUGAAACAAACAUGUUUGUUUCCUGUUAGUGGUUUCUUGUUUUGAAAACAGGUGUUGUCCAGUUUCAUAGAAUAUUCCUCACAAACUGAACUGAUUCAGGUGUUAAUUUGAAUGGAUUUACCAUUUACAACAGGAGCUAAUAGUCACAUAAGUCUCAACACCCAUUUUUCUCUUUCGACAAUGUGAUUUUUUGUCCCGCAUCUUACACAACCUCAUCUUUGCUUUCAUAGUAUAAAAUGUGAAGUCUUGGCAGAUUUGUUCUGAAAGAUUUGACAUGUACAUGCUCCAUGUGAACCAACUGUGCAUCUGUCUCCCCCCUGUAAUGAUGGGUGUUCUCCACCCACACCUAAACAGUGACUUUGUGAAACCACCCUCCCAGUGUCCCUCCUUCUCCAACUGUUGUGCUUGCUCUCUACGUUCUGUGAUUCUGUAUGCCUGUAUGAUAUGAAAGACUGUAAGCCAUUAUAUAUGUAUUAUCUGUGCUACUCUCGGAUAUGAAAGAAUUGAAUAAAACAUAUUUAAUGUAA
This 8786-nucleotide unclassified non-coding RNA is filed under the name Haliotis rubra (blacklip abalone). RNAcentral's name for it is "uncharacterized LOC124255838, transcript variant X1". The record is from RNAcentral. Lineage: Eukaryota; Metazoa; Mollusca; Gastropoda; Lepetellida; Haliotidae.